This 246-nucleotide non-coding RNA is filed under the name Thermoactinomyces vulgaris. Its description in RNAcentral is "T-box sequence". It matches the Rfam family "T-box leader". Rfam says of the family: Uncharged tRNA acts as the effector for transcription antitermination of genes in the T-box leader family. T-boxes are found upstream of many aminoacyl-tRNA synthetase genes and some amino acid biosynthetic genes usually in Gram-positive bacteria. Lineage: Bacteria; Bacillati; Bacillota; Bacilli; Caryophanales; Thermoactinomycetaceae. The record is from RNAcentral.
CAAAAAGCGAUGAAGAGGACCAGUAGAGGUGCAGAGUGUGUACAGAGAGCUGUCUCUAGGCUGAAAAGACGGUCACCCUCCCACUUCGAAUCUCACCUUGGAGUUGCGCUUUUGAAAAGGGCCCAGCCCCCGAGUAAAAAGCGACGGUUGCCCCCGUUACCGGGCAAGAGUCGUUUGGACUCGCCGAGUCCGUUUUCGCGAGAAAGCGGAGAAGCUGAGUGGUACCGCGAAACCCUCGCCUCAGCA